AAGGCGGCAUCCACAAAUAUUGGAGCUGCACUGUGUAACCUGUGUGAUUUGAACAAACUAAGCAAAGAAGCCAUUUUCUGCUUCGAGCCUUUGGGACGGAGACAGAGCA
This is a non-coding RNA of Thermoactinomyces vulgaris, 109 nucleotides long. The record is from Rfam. NCBI's taxonomy places the organism in Bacteria, Bacillati, Bacillota, Bacilli, Caryophanales, Thermoactinomycetaceae.